AUGUUUUUUGGGAGUUGUUGGGACCAGUACCGGUACUGGGAUUUUGCAGUACCGGUACAUGGGUUAAAAAUCAGCAUUUUUAAAGAAAUUUCAAAUGGGCUUAACUUUUUCAUCCAAACUCCGUUUUGGGCAAAUUUUAUAUCAAAAUUGAUGUACUCAAAAUGUACUUUCCAUUGGUGGUGGUCUCAUGAUCUAAUUCUAAGCCAAUUAAAAAUUAUAGCCAGAGGCAGGCUGGUCAUAAGUUUACAAACUGAUUUCAAGAGUUAUUUCAUAUUUGAACUUUAUACUUGUUUUGGGACACUUCUUGGUGUUGACUUGGACAUAUUAAUAUUCGUUGGUCAUCGUUUAGCUUCUUGUUAGCUUUAUAACUUUGUGCUGAGUGUUCUUUGAAUUCGUAACUAAUAUGAGUUAACUUGUGGCUAGGUAAAGAGCCGGUUAUUCGGGAGGUGCCGAAACCUUAGUUUGGCAUACUUCUGUCGACAUAAAGGCCACAAGUGGUCGUAGAGUUGGUUCACUACCGGUCGACGUUUUGAGAACACUUGGAUUUGUAUCGAGUGUUGGUGUCUGUGGUUGUGUUGGUUGUAAUGGGUCAAACUCUUACUUUUGCUAAACUCAUUUUGUGACUAAUGUUGUCAAGUACUUUUUGACUUCAAGUUUGUAAAUAUGUAGGGUAUCGUUUGUGCAAUGCAAGUUUGUAAUUAUCAUAGACAUUUUGUUAUAUUAAUGUUAAGUCUUCCGCUGGGGUUU
This is a long non-coding RNA of Rhododendron vialii, 747 nucleotides long. RefSeq lists it as uncharacterized. The record is from RefSeq and is a predicted model, not a curated record. The transcript has 2 exons. Lineage: Eukaryota; Viridiplantae; Streptophyta; Magnoliopsida; Ericales; Ericaceae.